This 471-nucleotide ribosomal RNA is filed under the name uncultured bacterium. Its description in RNAcentral is "partial 16S ribosomal RNA". It matches the Rfam family "Bacterial small subunit ribosomal RNA", at positions 28 to 507 of the family's 1533-position model. The record is from RNAcentral.
GACGAGCGCUGGCGGCGUGCUUAACACAUGCAAGUCGAACGAUGAAGCGGUGCUUGCACCGUGGAUUAGUGGCGAACGGGUGAGUAAUACGUGAGUGACCUACCUUUGACUCUGGGAUAAGCCUGGGAAACUGGGUCUAAUACCGGAUACGACCAAUCUCUGCAUGGGGUGUUGGUGGAAAGCGUUAUGGAGUGGUUUUAGAUGGGCUCACGGCCUAUCAGCUUGUUGGUGAGGUAAUGGCUUACCAAGGCGACGACGGGUAGCCGGCCUGAGAGGGUGACCGGCCACACUGGGACUGAGACACGGCCCAGACUCCUACGGGAGGCAGCAGUGGGGAAUAUUGCACAAUGGGCGCAAGCCUGAUGCAGCGACGCCGCGUGAGGGAUGACGGCCUUCGGGUUGUAAACCUCUGUUAGCAUCGAAGAAGCGAAAGUGACGGUAGGUGCAGAGAAAGCGCCGGCUAACUACGUG